GAGUUUGAUCGUGGCUCAGGAUGAACGCUGGCGGCGUGCUUAACACAUGCAAGUCGAACGAAGCGCCUUAUUUGAUUUUCUUCGGAACUGAAGAUUUGGUGACUGAGUGGCGGACGGGUGAGUAACGCGUGGGUAACCUGCCCUGUACAGGGGGAUAACAAUCAGAAAUGACUGCUAAUACCGCAUAAGACCACAGCACCGCAUGGUGCAGGGGUAAAAACUCCGGUGGUACAGGAUGGACCCGCGUCUGAUUAGCUGGUUGGUGAGGUAACGGCUCACCAAGGCGACGAUCAGUAGCCGGCUUGAGAGAGUGAACGGCCACAUUGGGACUGAGACACGGCCCAAACUCCUACGGGAGGCAGCAGUGGGGAAUAUUGCACAAUGGGGGAAACCCUGAUGCAGCAACGCCGCGUGAGUGAAGAAGUAUUCGGUAUGUAAAGCUCUAUCAGCAGGGAAGAAAGUGACGGUACCUGACUAAGAAGCCCCGGCUAACUACGUGCCAGCAGCCGCGGUAAUACC
This 519-nucleotide ribosomal RNA is filed under the name uncultured microorganism. RNAcentral's name for it is "bacterial SSU rRNA". It matches the Rfam family "Bacterial small subunit ribosomal RNA", at positions 9 to 527 of the family's 1533-position model. The record is from RNAcentral.